UUAGAUUAAGUUAUUAAGGGCGCACGGUGGAUGCCUUGGCACUAGAAGCCGAUGAAGGACGUUACUAACGACGAUAUGCUUUGGGUAGCUGUAAGUAAGCGUUGAUCCAGAGAUUUCCGAAUGGGGGAACCCAACACAAGUUAUGUUGUGUUAUCGACAAGUGAAUUCAUAGCUUGUCAGAAGGCAGACCCGGAGAACUGAAACAUCUUAGUACCCGGAGGAAGAGAAAGAAAAUUCGAUUCCCUGAGUAGCGGCGAGCGAAACGGGAAGAGCCCAAACCAAUAAGCUUGCUUAUUGGGGUUGUAGGACACUCUAUACGGAGUUACAAAGGAAUAUAUUAAACGAAUCAUCUGGAAAGUUGAAUCAAAGAAGGUAAUAAUCCUGUAGUUGAAAAUAUAUUCUCUCUUGAGUGGAUCCUGAGUACGACGGAGCACGUGAAAUUCCGUCGGAAUCUGGGAGGACCAUCUCCUAAGGCUAAAUACUCUCUAGUGACCGAUAGUGAACCAGUACCGUGAGGGAAAGGUGAAAAGUACCCCGGAAGGGGAGUGAAAGAGAACUUGAAACCGUGUGCUUACAAGUAGUCAGAGCCCGUUAAUGGGUGAUGGCGUGCCUUUUGUAGAAUGAACCGGCGAGUUACGAUCUGAUGCAAGGUUAAGCAGAAAAUGUGGAGCCGUAGCGAAAGCGAGUCUGAAUAGGGCGUAUAGUAUUUGGUCGUAGACCCGAAACCAGGUGAUCUACCCAUGGUCAGGUUGAAGUUCAGGUAACACUGAAUGGAGGACCGAACCGACUUACGUUGAAAAGUGAGCGGAUGAACUGUGGGUAGCGGAGAAAUUCCAAUCGAACUUGGAGAUAGCUGGUUCUCUCCGAAAUAGCUUUAGGGCUAGCCUCAAGUGAUGAUUAUUGGAGGUAGAGCACUGUUUGGACGAGGGGCCCCUCUCGGGUUACCGAAUUCAGACAAACUCCGAAUGCCAAUUAAUUUAACUUGGGAGUCAGAACAUGGGUGAUAAGGUCCGUGUUCGAAAGGGAAACAGCCCAGACCACCAGCUAAGGUCCCAAAAUAUAUGUUAAGUGGAAAAGGAUGUGGCGUUGCCCAGACAACUAGGAUGUUGGCUUAGAAGCAGCCAUCAUUUAAAGAGUGCGUAAUAGCUCACUAGUCGAGUGACACUGCGCCGAAAAUGUACCGGGGCUAAACAUAUUACCGAAGCUGUGGAUUGUCCUUUGGACAAUGGUAGGAGAGCGUUCUAAGGGCGUUGAAGCAUGAUCGCAAGGACAUGUGGAGCGCUUAGAAGUGAGAAUGCCGGUGUGAGUAGCGAAAGACGGGUGAGAAUCCCGUCCACCGAUUGACUAAGGUUUCCAGAGGAAGGCUCGUCCGCUCUGGGUUAGUCGGGUCCUAAGCUGAGGCCGACAGGCGUAGGCGAUGGAUAACAGGUUGAUAUUCCUGUACCACCUAUAAUCGUUUUAAUCGAUGGGGGGACGCAGUAGGAUAGGCGAAGCGUACGAUUGGAUUGUACGUCUAAGCAGUGAGAUUGAGUGUUAGGCAAAUCCGGCACUCUUAAGAUUGAGCUGUGAUGGGGAGAGGAAAUUGUUUCCUCGAGUCGUUGAUUUCACACUGCCGAGAAAAGCCUCUAGAUAGAGAUUAGGUGCCCGUACCGCAAACCGACACAGGUAGUCAAGAUGAGAAUUCUAAGGUGAGCGAGCGAACUCUCGUUAAGGAACUCGGCAAAAUGACCCCGUAACUUCGGGAGAAGGGGUGCUCUUUAGGGUGCAAGCCCAGAAGAGCCGCAGUGAAUAGGCCCAAGCGACUGUUUAUCAAAAACACAGGUCUCUGCUAAACCGUAAGGUGAUGUAUAGGGGCUGACGCCUGCCCGGUGCUGGAAGGUUAAGAGGAGUGGUUAGCUUCUGCGAAGCUACGAAUCGAAGCCCCAGUAAACGGCGGCCGUAACUAUAACGGUCCUAAGGUAGCGAAAUUCCUUGUCGGGUAAGUUCCGACCCGCACGAAAGGCGUAACGAUUUGGGCACUGUCUCAACGAGAGACUCGGUGAAAUCAUAGUACCUGUGAAGAUGCAGGUUACCCGCGACAGGACGGAAAGACCCCGUGGAGCUUUACUGUAGCCUGAUAUUGAAAUUCGGCACAGCUUGUACAGGAUAGGUAGGAGCCUUUGAAACGUGAGCGCUAGCUUACGUGGAGGCGUUGGUGGGAUACUACCCUAGCUGUGUUGGCUUUCUAACCCGCACCACUUAUCGUGGUGGGAGACAGUGUCAGGCGGGCAGUUUGACUGGGGCGGUCGCCUCCUAAAAGGUAACGGAGGCGCUCAAAGGUUCCCUCAGAAUGG
This 2333-nucleotide ribosomal RNA is filed under the name Staphylococcus hominis subsp. novobiosepticus. RNAcentral's name for it is "bacterial LSU rRNA". It matches the Rfam family "Bacterial large subunit ribosomal RNA", at positions 1 to 2330 of the family's 2925-position model. The record is from RNAcentral. Lineage: Bacteria; Bacillati; Bacillota; Bacilli; Caryophanales; Staphylococcaceae.